Molecule: ribosomal RNA, 524 nt
Filed under: uncultured bacterium
Lineage: Bacteria
Description: bacterial SSU rRNA
Rfam family: Bacterial small subunit ribosomal RNA
Source: RNAcentral
CGGGAAUUUUGCGCAAUGGACGAAAGUCUGACGCAGCAACGCCGCGUGAGGGAUGAAGGCCUUCGGGUUGUAAACCUCUUUUAUCAGGGAAGAUAAUGACGGUACCUGAUGAAUAAGUCACGGCUAACUACGUGCCAGCAGCCGCGGUAAUACGUAGGUGACAAGCGUUGUCCGGAUUUACUGGGCGUAAAGAGCGCGCAGGCGGUCGUUCAAGUCGAGUGUGAAAGCCCCCGGCUCAACUGGGGAGGGUCAUUCGAUACUGAUCGACUCGAAGGCAGGAGAGGGAAGUGGAAUUCCCGGUGUAGUGGUGAAAUGCGUAGAUAUCGGGAGGAACACCAGUGGCGAAGGCGACUUCCUGGCCUGUUCUUGACGCUGAGGCGCGAAAGCUAGGGGAGUAAACGGGAUUAGAUACCCCGGUAGUCCUAGCCGUAAACGAUGGACACUAGGUGUUGGUGGUAUCAACCCCGCCAGUGCCGAAGCUAACGCAUUAAGUGUCCCGCCUGGGGAGUACGGCCGCAAGGCUA